Molecule: non-coding RNA, 824 nt
Filed under: Soboliphyme baturini
Lineage: Eukaryota; Metazoa; Nematoda; Enoplea; Dioctophymatida; Soboliphymatidae
Description: Eukaryotic large subunit ribosomal RNA
Rfam family: Eukaryotic large subunit ribosomal RNA
Source: Rfam by way of RNAcentral
ACCAAGGCAUCCUACUUGCACGAAAGCAGCGGAUCGAUAAGAGGCACAGUGCCGAAUGAAUGCGAGACGAAAUCUGAAAGAAGCUCGUUGCUAACGGCCGUAUGACGUUCAACGGUCGUUUGGCAACGCCUUUCGGGAUCAUGCCAGAGAAGCAUGUAUGCUGGAACCCGAAAGACAGAAAACUAAGUCACAGCGGUGUUGAUGAACAAACCAGUCCUCAAAUUUGUGCAUUAAGACGAAAGACAAAUCGAAUCUUUUAGUCGUUGGUUCUCUCGAAAGCUUUCCUUAAGAUAGCUGAUAUCAGCGUGAUGAGUUUUAUGUGGAAUAGUGAAUGAUUUAAAUUUUGAACGGAGAACAUCUUAAAACCAAUCUCAGACUUUCUAUUGGUACACUAUGCAGCUUUCGUUAACGAAACUGUACGAAAGAAAUGUCAAUGGCUAAUAGACCAAUUUUCGUACGCACAACUGGCGAUGUGAGAUGAACCAUACAUCGAAUUAAGGCGCCUGAUAGGAACGCUGAACAUAUAACAUGAAAGUCGGAAUUCACUAAGCAAUGUGUAACAACUCACUUGCCCAAUUCACUAGCCCUGAAAGUGGAUGAUGCCAGAACUUGUAGACUAUAUUCGGCCGCUUCCUUUCGGUGGCGUCCCAGGAGAGUUACCAAGCGCAAGCACGACAGAUUAAAGCAGAUAUGAGAACUAAAAGCGCUAUCAUGUGCCAUGACAUAAGAACAUGAGUCCUGGCCGAACCAUCGUUGGCGCAAAUCUUGGUGGUAACAGCGAGUAUUCAAGAGAGAAUAUUGAAGAAUGAAUACAUACCGGGAUC